AGUGAACGCUGGCGGUAGGCCUAACACAUGCAAGUCGAACGGCAGCACAGAGGAGCUUGCUCCUUGGGUGGUGAGUGGCGGACGGGUGAGGAAUACAUCGGAAUCUACUCUGUCGUGGGGGAUAACGUAGGGAAACUUACGCUAAUACCGCAUACGACCUACGGGUGAAAGCAGGGGACCUUCGGGCCUUGCGCCAUUGAAUGAGCCGAUGUCGGAUUAGCUAGUUGGCGGGGUAAAGGCCCACCAAGGCGACGAUCCGUAGCUGGUCUGAGAGGAUGAUCAGCCACACUGGAACUGAGACACGGUCCAGACUCCUACGGGAGGCAGCAGUGGGGAAUAUUGGACAAUGGGCGCAAGCCUGAUCCAGCCAUACCGCGUGGGUGAAGAAGGCCUUCGGGUUGUAAAGCCCUUUUGUUGGGAAAGAAAUCCAGCUGGCUAAUACCCGGUUGGGAUGACGGUACCCAAAGAAUAAGCACCGGCUAACUUCGUGCCAGCCGCCGCGGUAA
This 506-nucleotide ribosomal RNA is filed under the name uncultured bacterium. RNAcentral's name for it is "partial 16S ribosomal RNA". It matches the Rfam family "Bacterial small subunit ribosomal RNA", at positions 29 to 523 of the family's 1533-position model. The record is from RNAcentral.